Molecule: non-coding RNA, 91 nt
Organism: Onygenales sp. PD_40
Lineage: Eukaryota; Fungi; Ascomycota; Eurotiomycetes; Onygenales
Source: the annotation of a GenBank genome assembly
CCGCUGGUCGUCUAGUUGGUUUAUGGCACUGGACUGUAAUAUCACGUGAGCUGCUAUCCAGGUGUCGUCGGUUCGACUCCGACCCAGCGGA